Molecule: long non-coding RNA, 890 nt
Organism: Daphnia magna
Lineage: Eukaryota; Metazoa; Arthropoda; Branchiopoda; Diplostraca; Daphniidae
Exons: 2
Source: RefSeq, a predicted model, not a curated record
UUCCAUUACUUCGCCGUUGGGUGACGCUUCAAUCACCCUUAACCGUUUACUUUGCCGCAGUGGACCAGUACUCAUCUACACCCGAUCAUUCAGGAUCGACGAACGGGUUAAAAUAGGUCUACUGGGGGAGUAGACCUAUUAUAACCCGCAUAAAACAAGACAAGAUCCGCUCUCUUACUUGAGUUGUGGACGUUCAAACGAAUAAGAAGCUCGGCCAGGCCUGUGGUCCUAUACCCAAGCAAUUUAAGGUACCAAUACUCGCUGGUCACACCUUCCAAGCACCUCUCAACAGCACCUGCCUCUUAAUUUCUUACUCUCUCACUUCGUCCCCUAACAACUCAGAAUCAAGCCCAAUGAUCUUACCUUAUUUUACCAGGAAGGUCUACCCUGCAUCUCCACCAUGUAACGAGUUAUCGCCGAUGGGUUUGGAGAAUCAAUAUCGGUGUAUUCAAUCUUUUCAACACUCAAGCACUACACAAAUCUUUCAGACGUGGGAAAGAGUCAGUCGGCGAAUCCGAUGCAUCAGCAAUCGGAUGACACUCGAAUGACACUUCCGUCGGUCGUUUGUCUAUCCGUUACAGCUAUAACGGAUGGCGAGAGUUCUCUUACAAUGAUGCGUGAACGUUACAAUAUUAUUCAUAAAAGUACAUGGCGAUGAAAAUCCAAUGGCUUGUUUUACUUUCUGCUUCACGGUUUCAUUGAUCAAGGAAGUUGCUACUUUCAUGACAUAUUGCACAUUAACUCGAGUUAGUUUUUGUUCGUUAGCAUGUUUAGAACAAAAUCUGCACCAAGGUAUUGUAAAUCAACAUCUGGUUUUGCUAAUUCAACAUGUGUAGAAGCCCGUUCACAGUCUUAAAACUUCUGCUUAAUAAACGGUUAACUUAACUUAA